ACUUGCAACCACCUCCGGUUCACUCUCCUCCACCACCAGUCCAAUCACCCCCACCACCAAUCCAUUCUCAUCCACCACCAGUGUACUCACCCCCACCACCUGUCCAUUCUCCUCCACCCCCAGUGCACUCACCCCCACCACCCGUCCAUUCACUUGCACCACCAGUAACACUCACCCCCACCACCUGUCCAUUCUCCUCCACCUUCAGAGUACUCACCCCCACCACCUGUCCAUUCUCCUCCACCCCCAGUGCACUCACCCCCACCACCCGUCCAUUCACCUGCACCACCAGUACACUCACCCCCAGCACCUGUCUACUUUCCUCCACCACCAGUCCACUCUCCUCCUCCACCGGUACACUCACCCCCACCACCAGUCCAUUCGCCUCCACCACCAGUGCACUCACCCCCACCACCUGUCCACUCUCCUCCACCACCCGUUCACUCUCCUCCACCACCAGUCCAUUCUCCUCCUCCACCUGUGCACUCACCCCCACCACCGGUCUACUCACCCCCACCACCUGUACACUCACCCCCACCACCAGUGCACUCGCCACCGCCACCAGCACCAGUCCACUCACCGCCACCUCCAAUCCAAUCAUCACCACCACCGGUACCGAUCCACUCAUCGCCACCUCCAGUCCAAUCACCUCCAAUCCAAUCACCACCACCACCUUCUCCAUCUCUAUCACCUCCUUCUCCCGUUUCCUCACCACCCUCUCCGGUAUAUGACUUCGCAUUGCCACCUACCAUCGGGUUCCAAUACUCAUCUCCACCUCCACCAAUGUUCCCAGGCUACUAAGCGCACUGCGAUAUCAAGCUCCCACCCGGCCCUGCAUGAAAAUUUGUUUAUAAAUAUUUACAAUCUCACAGAAA
RNAcentral lists this long non-coding RNA (875 nucleotides) under Malus domestica (apple). RNAcentral's name for it is "long non-coding RNA (MDOM_LNC005333)". Lineage: Eukaryota; Viridiplantae; Streptophyta; Magnoliopsida; Rosales; Rosaceae. The record is from RNAcentral.